UGGGGAAUAUUGCACAAUGGGGGAAACCCUGAUGCAGCGACGCCGCGUUAGCGAUGAAGGCUUUCGAGUCGUAAAUCUCUGUCCUAUGGGAAGAUAAUGACGGUACCAUAGAAGAAAGCCCCGGCUAAUUACGUGCCAGCAGCCGCGGUAAUACGUAAGGGGCGAGCGUUGUCCGGAAUUAUUGGGCGUAAAGAGUGCGUAGGCCGCAAAUUAAGUCAGAUGUGAAAACUAAGGGCUCAACCGUAGUUAGCCUCCGAAACUGGAAGACUUGAGUUCAGGAAAGGAAAGUGGAAUUACCAGUGUGUCGGUGAAAUGCGUAGAUAUUGGGAGGAACACCAGUAGCGAAGGCGACUUUCUGAACUGCAACUGACACAGAGGCACGAAAGCCUGGGUAGCAAACAGU
This 403-nucleotide ribosomal RNA is filed under the name Verrucomicrobiota bacterium. RNAcentral describes it as "Verrucomicrobia bacterium partial 16S ribosomal RNA". It matches the Rfam family "Bacterial small subunit ribosomal RNA", at positions 355 to 776 of the family's 1533-position model. Lineage: Bacteria; Pseudomonadati; Verrucomicrobiota. The record is from RNAcentral.